RNAcentral lists this ribosomal RNA (1480 nucleotides) under uncultured Bordetella sp. RNAcentral's name for it is "partial 16S-23S ribosomal RNA intergenic spacer". It matches the Rfam family "Bacterial small subunit ribosomal RNA". The record is from RNAcentral. Lineage: Bacteria; Pseudomonadati; Pseudomonadota; Betaproteobacteria; Burkholderiales; Alcaligenaceae.
GGGUUUGAUUACAGGCUCAGAUUGAACGCUGGCGGAUGCUUUACACAUGCAAGUCGAACGGCAGCACGGACUUCGGUCUGGUGGCGAGUGGCGAACGGGUGAGUAAUGUAUCGGAACGCCUAGUAGCGGGGAUAACUACGCGAAAGCGUAGCUAAUACCGCAUACGCCCUUCGGGGAAAGCGGGGACCUUCGGGCCCCUGCACUAUUAGAGCGGCCGAUAUCGGAUUAGCUAGUUGCGGGUAACGGCUCACCAAGGCGACGAUCCGUAGCUGGUUUGAGAGGACGACCAGCCACACUGGGACUGAGACACGCCCCAGACUCCUACGGAGGCAGCAGUGGGGAAUUUUGGACAAUGGGGGAACCCUGAUCCAGCCAUCCCGCGUGUGCGAUGAAGGCCUUCGGGUUGUAAAGCACUUUUUUGGCAGGAGAAACGGCACGGGAUAAUACCCCGUGCAACUGACGGUACCUGCAGAAUAAGCACCGGCUAACUACGUGCCAGCAGCCGCGGUAAUACGUAGGGUGCAAGCGUUAAUCGGAAUUACUGGGCGUAAAGCGUGCGCAGGCGGUUCGGAAAGAAAGAUGUGAAAUCCCAGAGCUUAACUUUGGAACUGCAUUUUUGUUCACCGAGCUAGGAGUGUGUUGAGGAGGUGGAAUUCCGCGUGUAGCAGUGAAAUGCGUAGAUAUGCGGAGGAACACCGAUGGCGAAGGCAGCCUCCUGGGAUAACACUGACGCUCAUGCACGAAAGCGUGAGCAAACAGGAUUAGAUACCCUGGUAGUCCACGCCCCUAAACGAUGUCAACUAUUGUUGGGGCCUUCUGGCCUUGGUAGCGCAGCUAACGUGAAGUUGACCGCCUGGGGAGUACGGUCGCAAGAUUAAAACUCAAAGGAAUUGACGGGGACUGCACAAGCGGUGGAUGAUGUGGAUUAAUUCGAUGCAACGCGAAAACCUGUAUCUUGACAUGUCUGGAAUCCCGAAGAGAUUUGGGAGUGCUCGCAAGAGAACCGGAACACAGGUGCUGCAUGGCUGUCGUCAGCUCGUGUCGUGAGAUGUUGGGUUAAGUCCCGCAACGAGCGCAACCCUGUCAUUAGUUGCGCGCUACGAAAGGGCACUCUAAUGAGACUGCCGGUGACAAACCGGAGGAAGGUGGGGAUGACGUCAAGUCCCUCAUGGCUCUUAUGGGUAGGGUCAACAUCGUCAUACAAUGGUCGGGACAGAGGGUCGCCAACCCGCGAGGGGGAGCCAAUCCCAGAAACCCGAUCGUAGUCCGGAUCGCAGUCUGCAACUCGACUGGCGUGAAGUCGGAAUCGCUAGUAAUCGCGGAUCAGCAUGUCGCGGUGAAUACGUUCCCGGGUCUUGUACACACCGCCCGUCACACCAUGGGAGUGGGCUCUUGUAAUUUCAGAAGUAGUUAGCCCAACCGUAAGGAGGGCGAUUACCACGGUAGGAUUCAUGACUGGGGUGAAGUCGUAACAAGGUAA